GGUGCUGCGCCGGGCUUGAACGGAUAACUCUGAUGACGUUAAUUACGGGUAUUAAACCCCUGCGCCU
RNAcentral lists this transfer RNA (67 nucleotides) under Halosydna sp. YZ-2018. RNAcentral describes it as "tRNA-Ile". The record is from RNAcentral. Lineage: Eukaryota; Metazoa; Annelida; Polychaeta; Phyllodocida; Polynoidae.